GGCGGACGGGUUAGUAACGCGUGCGAACGUACCCAGAUCUAAGGAAUAGCCACUGGAAACGGUGAGUAAUACCUUAUACGCCCUUCGGGGGAAAGAUUUAUCGGAUUUGGAUCGGCCCGCGUUAGAUUAGAUAGUUGGUGGGGUAAUGGCCUACCAAGUCUACGAUCUAUAGCUGGUUUUAGAGGAUGAUCAGCAACACUGGGACUGAGACACGGCCCAGACUCCUACGGGAGGCAGCAGUGGGGAAUCUUGGACAAUGGGCGCAAGCCUGAUCCAGCCAUGCCGCGUGAGUGAUGAAGGCCUUAGGGUCGUAAAGCUCUUUCGCUAGAGAUGAUAAUGACAGUAUCUGGUAAAGAAACCCCGGCUAACUCCGUGCCAGCAGCCGCGGUAAUACGGAGGGGGUUAGCGUUGUUCGGAAUUACUGGGCGUAAAGCGUACGUAGGCGGAUUAGUCAGUCAGAGGUGAAAUCCCAGGGCUCAACCCUGGAACUGCCUUUGAUACUGCUAGUCUUGAGUUCGAGAGAGGUGAGUGGAAUUCCAAGUGUAGAGGUGAAAUUCGUAGAUAUUUGGAGGAACACCAGUGGCGAAGGCGGCUCACUGGCUCGAUACUGACGCUGAGGUACGAAAGUGUGGGGAGCAAACAGGAUUAGAUACCCUGGUAGUCCACACCGU
Molecule: ribosomal RNA, 671 nt
Filed under: uncultured Nautella sp.
Lineage: Bacteria; Pseudomonadati; Pseudomonadota; Alphaproteobacteria; Rhodobacterales; Roseobacteraceae
Description: bacterial SSU rRNA
Rfam family: Bacterial small subunit ribosomal RNA
Source: RNAcentral